This is a transfer RNA of Ovis aries (sheep), 66 nucleotides long. It matches the Rfam family "tRNA". Rfam says of the family: Transfer RNA (tRNA) molecules are approximately 80 nucleotides in length. Their secondary structure includes four short double-helical elements and three loops (D, anti-codon, and T loops). Lineage: Eukaryota; Metazoa; Chordata; Mammalia; Artiodactyla; Bovidae. The record is from Rfam.
ACCCAGGUGACUUAGUGGUAAAGAAUCUGCCUGCAAUGCAGGAAACUUGGGUUCCAUGCCUGGGUC